Molecule: ribosomal RNA, 482 nt
Filed under: uncultured bacterium
Lineage: Bacteria
Description: partial 16S ribosomal RNA
Rfam family: Bacterial small subunit ribosomal RNA
Source: RNAcentral
AUUGAACGCUGGCGGCAUGCUUUACACAUGCAAGUCGAACGGCAGCGCGGGGCAACCUGGCGGCGAGUGGCGAACGGGUGAGUAAUAUAUCGGAACGUACCCAGAAGUGGGGGAUAACGUAGCGAAAGUUACGCUAAUACCGCAUACGAUCUACGGAUGAAAGUAGGGGACCGCAAGGCCUUAUGCUUUUGGAGCGGCCGAUAUCUGAUUAGCUAGUUGGUGAGGUAAAGGCUCACCAAGGCGACGAUCAGUAGCUGGUCUGAGAGGACGACCAGCCACACUGGAACUGAGACACGGUCCAGACUCCUACGGGAGGCAGCAGUGGGGAAUUUUGGACAAUGGGCGCAAGCCUGAUCCAGCAAUGCCGCGUGAGUGACGAAGGCCUUCGGGUUGUAAAGCUCUUUUGUCAGGGAAGAAACGGUAGAGGCUAAUAUCCUUUGCUAAUGACGGUACCUGAAGAAUAAGCACCGGCUAACUACGUG